Molecule: long non-coding RNA, 781 nt
Organism: Xiphophorus hellerii (green swordtail)
Lineage: Eukaryota; Metazoa; Chordata; Actinopteri; Cyprinodontiformes; Poeciliidae
Exons: 3
Source: RefSeq, a predicted model, not a curated record
UCCAAAAGAGAAAAGUUGUCUAUCAUCAAAUACAGUCUCUCUGGUUAGUUAAAAUGGGCUUUCGGAAUUGUGGAAAGAGUGUGUAUUCACUUGGAGGAAUACAGACUCCCCCAACAGUAGCCCAUAACUGGGGUCAGUGCAACAUGCCACACAGUAUUUGUAAUUACAGUUCUUUCAUCAUCUUCUAAAUGUUGAAACAUUUAGAUGUUUCACUACAGGUAUCUGUACUAACAAACAUACCUGUUUUAGUAUAUGUGGGUACACUAUAUAUGUCCACAUGAAUGUUUUAAGUCUGAUGCAUUAUAAUGCCAUAAAAAAAGUCUGUAAAAACUUUUUUUUUCUUUAGAUGGCAAAAGCACUGAUGGAAGCCUUCCCUCUGAUGCCAGAUGUAGAUUUUGACACAACAAAAAAGGCAAUGAAAAGUGAAAGAAGAACUCUCGCUCUUCAAAUCCUUGAUGCAUCAGUAUUUGAUGACCACUGUUGGUGUGCGAUGUGCGCUGCAUACAAAGCCCCGGGGUCUGGCCCUGGAAUGACAGACUGGAUCCAGUGUGACAACUGUGACCGAUGGUACCAUGCCCUGUGCAUAAAUAUGAAGAGCACAGAAUUUCAAAAGAAAAAAACAGGCAGUUGGAAAUGUGUAUUGUGUAGUUAAUCUGAAAACUAGAAACUGUGUUCAUUAUUGUUCGAAAUACGUUUUGAAAAUAUCUGUGGAAAAUGAAAAUGUAAUAUGUUUGUGUGGCAUUGAUGCUAUGUGUGAUGUAUAAAGUGUACUGGAAUCAUU